RNAcentral lists this transfer RNA (64 nucleotides) under Colius striatus (speckled mousebird). It matches the Rfam family "tRNA", at positions 5 to 66 of the family's 71-position model. Rfam says of the family: Transfer RNA (tRNA) molecules are approximately 80 nucleotides in length. Their secondary structure includes four short double-helical elements and three loops (D, anti-codon, and T loops). Further hydrogen bonds mediate the characteristic L-shaped molecular structure. tRNAs have two regions of fundamental functional importance: the anti-codon, which is responsible for specific mRNA codon recognition, and the 3' end, to which the tRNAs corresponding amino acid is attached (by aminoacyl-tRNA synthetases). tRNAs cope with the degeneracy of the genetic code in two manners: having more than one tRNA (with a specific anti-codon) for a particular amino acid; and 'wobble' base-pairing, i.e. permitting non-standard base-pairing at the 3rd anti-codon position. The record is from Rfam by way of RNAcentral. Lineage: Eukaryota; Metazoa; Chordata; Aves; Coliiformes; Coliidae.
CGGUGGCUUAAUGGAUAAGGCACUGCCCUCCUAAGCCAGGGAUUGUGGGUUCGAGUCCCACCUG